GUAGGGAAUAUUGGACAAUGGGCGCAAGCCUGAUCCAGCCAUGCCGCGUGAGUGAUGAAGGCCUUCGGGUUGUAAAGCUCUUUAGUCCACGAAUAUAAUGACUGUAGUGGAAGAAUAAGCCCCGGCUAACUUCGUGCCAGCAGCCGCGGUAAUACGAAGGGGGCGAGCGUUAUUCGGAAUCACUGGGCGUAAAGCGUGCGUAGGCUGUUUUGUAAGUCAGAAGUGAAAGCCCAGGGCUUAACCCUGGAAUUGCUUUUGAAACUACAAGACUCGAAUUCGGGAGAGGAUAGCGGAAUUGUCAGUGUAGCAGUGAAAUGCGUAGAUAUUGACAGGAACACCAGUGGCGCAAGCGGCUAUCUGGACCGAUAUUGACGCUGAGGCACGAAAGCGUGGGGAGCAAACAGGAUUAGAAACCCGAGUAGUCC
Molecule: ribosomal RNA, 425 nt
Filed under: uncultured bacterium
Lineage: Bacteria
Description: partial 16S ribosomal RNA
Rfam family: Bacterial small subunit ribosomal RNA
Source: RNAcentral